UGGCGGACGGGUGAGUAAUGUCUGGGAAACUGCCCGAUGGAGGGGGAUAACUACUGGAAACGGUAGCUAAUACCGCAUAACGUCGCAAGACCAAAGAGGGGGACCUUAGGGCCUCUUGCCAUCGGAUGUGCCCAGAUGGGAUUAGCUAGUAGGUGGGGGAAGGGCUCACCUAGGCGACGAUCCCUAGCUGGUCUGAGAGGAUGACCAGCCACACUGGAACUGAGACACGGUCCAG
This 235-nucleotide ribosomal RNA is filed under the name uncultured bacterium. RNAcentral describes it as "partial 16S ribosomal RNA". It matches the Rfam family "Bacterial small subunit ribosomal RNA", at positions 96 to 334 of the family's 1533-position model. The record is from RNAcentral.